UGGGGAAUUUUGGACAAUGGGCGCAAGCCUGAUCCAGCAAUGCCGCGUGAGUGAAGAAGGCCUUCGGGUUGUAAAGCUCUUUUGUCAGGGAAGAAACGGCUGAGGUUAAUACCUUCGGCUAAUGACGGUACCUGAAGAAUAAGCACCGGCUAACUACGUGCCAGCAGCCGCGGUAAUACGUAGGGUGCAAGCGUUAAUCGGAAUUACUGGGCGUAAAGCGUGCGCAGGCGGUUUUGUAAGUCUGACGUGAAAUCCCCGGGCUCAACCUGGGAAUUGCGUUGGAGACUGCAAGGCUGGAGUCUGGCAGAGGGGGGUAGAAUUCCACGUGUAGCAGUGAAAUGCGUAGAGAUGUGGAGGAACACCGAUGGCGAAGGCAGCCCCCUGGGUCAAGACUGACGCUCAUGCACGAAAGCGUGGGGAGCAAACA
RNAcentral lists this ribosomal RNA (427 nucleotides) under uncultured Massilia sp. RNAcentral describes it as "bacterial SSU rRNA". It matches the Rfam family "Bacterial small subunit ribosomal RNA", at positions 355 to 774 of the family's 1533-position model. The record is from RNAcentral. Lineage: Bacteria; Pseudomonadati; Pseudomonadota; Betaproteobacteria; Burkholderiales; Oxalobacteraceae.